UACGGGGGGGGCAAGCGUUGUUCGGAAUUACUGGGCGUAAAGGGCUCGUAGGCGGCCAACUAAGUCGGACGUGAAAUCCCUCGGCUUAACCGGGGAACUGCGUCCGAUACUGGAUGGCUUGAGAUUGGGAGAGGGAUGCGGAAUUCCAGGUGUAGCGGUGAAAUGCGUAGAUAUCUGGAGGAACACCGGUGGCGAAGGCGGCAUCCUGGACCAACACUGACGCUGAUGAGCGAAAGCCAGGGGAGCAAACGGG
Molecule: ribosomal RNA, 253 nt
Filed under: uncultured bacterium
Lineage: Bacteria
Also listed under: 1 other name
Description: partial 16S ribosomal RNA
Rfam family: Bacterial small subunit ribosomal RNA
Source: RNAcentral